GUGAUUUCAGUUUCAUAAUACCAUUGAAAAGUAUUGAAUUUGCUUUAAAUGCCUUAUAAAAUAUUAUGAAAUCCAUCUUUGCUGGUCUUUAGUGGCUCAUGAAAUUUCAUCCCUUAUUAAAUUUUUUUGCCUCCAAUUAUUAAUUUCAGUUAUGAAAGCUUCUUGAUUAAUAUUUGGAGUUCUGAGGUUUUACAGAUUUACACUGCUAUGUGUAUUGUAUUGCAGUCAUUUUAUUGAGGGAGCCAGACAGGGUAACUGAAGAAAUGUAAAUUUAUGACUUAUUAGAUCAUUUUUAUUUUAAGAAGUGCAGAACUGCAAAUACACCAGAAAACAUGGAUUUAUUAUUUUUUUCUUGAUAGCCUUUUGAUGGGACUCUGCUAAAUACAGUUUUUAAAGGGAAGAGGGUUUUACCAUUUUUUGCUUGUGUUGGAUAAAACUUCCAGAAAGUCUGUUAUGGAGGGGAUUAUUUGUGUGGUUGAGUUUGAAUAUCUGGGGUGAAAAAGAGGAUUUUUUUCUGAUGCUACUUUAUUUUUCCACGUAGGGCUUGAAUUCUCAUUAGAGGACUGCCUACCUCUGGAUCCACACCUGUGUCCCAACCCACAAGGUGACACCCUGGGCUGGGGGCUGCCCCCAGGUGCCCUCAGCCUGCCCAGCAACCUGGCAAUUCUGGACACCCUGGAGAACUCCACAGUUCCCUGGCCUAAAACCUCAGGAUUUUUUCAUGGCCUCAAGAGAUAAGAGGGCUGCCAUGACCACGGCAGGAUGUUCACUGUGUAAAUGAGACCAGAUGGGAGGAUGAGCACAUCUUAUGCAGAUUAUAAGCUGUUUUCCCUUGAGCUAACUGGAUGUGAAAUAAAACAGAUCCAGGAAAACCCUUGUUGGUGAGGGGUUAGUGAAGGUGGACAGCCCAUGUGCCUUCAGCAGAGAGAAAAAGGGUGUGUACUGAGAACUCCGGGAAAGAAAAACAAGAACUGGCUUCACUCUGCCAAUAUUCCUAAAAAUGAGAAAAGAGAAGCAGAAGUAAGCAAUGUGUCAGCCCUGAACAUUGACUUACGAAUGAGGGCUUGACCUGCAGAGUGCUGGGUGAAGGGUGGGGAUCCAAGGUCUCACAGGAGCCCUGCAGGGAGUGAAUCACAACCUGAGCAUGAGUCAACAGAACCUGCCUGUUGUGAAAAUGUUAAAUGUCAACACAAGAGUGUUUACACAGAACUGUAACUUAUAAAAUGCAUGAAGCAAUUGUUAAGUUGCACUCAGCACUAGUAAGGCCUCAGCUAGGCCAGUGUGUCAAAUGUUAAGCAAUUUUUUUUCCUCUUCAAGGGAAAUGUGGUGCAGCUGGAUGGCAGCCAAGCAGAGAGAAUCAAGCAGAGAGAGUUGGAAGAACCUGUCCUGUCCUCACAGGUCACAGAUUAUGUAGUGUUCAGUGUGAACAACAGAAGACCAAAGACAACACAGAAAUUCAGUUUUCUGUAAGAAAUAUAUUUUGCAAAGAAGAUGGGAUUUAUCCAUAUAAGUAGGACAAGAAUAAUAGACUUAAUUGAGGUUUGAGAGAAUUAAGUUAGAUAUCAGGGAAAACAUUCUAGUCACAGGAAUGGUUACUAGGAGAGAGAGAUGGUCUGAAGAAGCUGCAAAAACCUCUGAGGGAUUUUUAAAGACUGUUUUAAAUAAGUAGAGGUCAGGAAAACAUUGGGGGAGAUGCACGAUGUGAGUUUUGGGGCUCCUUCUCAUUCUGCCUCUGCAUGGUUCCCAGCUUGCGAGGACUGAACUUGGCUGAUGCCCAGUUUUGCCCAUAGACUAAUUCCAAACUGGUGGUACUGGGCACACUGGUCAGUGCUCAUCAAACCACAGACAGAAAUACUCUCAAUUCCACCAACAGAAGCUUUUAUGUAGGGUGGGCUGAACUCCGAUAAAAUCCUGUGAAUUAAACCCUGUUGCACUGAAGUGACACUGAUUUCAGAAUUUCAUUCUGUGACAAAUCCAAACUUGGGAUUUUCUAGUCUUCAUGUCUAUCUUGGGCAGCUAAAUGAAUGCAACCCUGCUAAUACUCCCUGUGCAUUAGGUGAAGUAAAUCCUCUCUUGGCAAUUAUCUGAAGACACCUAUUGAGCUCAAUGAGAAACAGCAGCUCAGGCAACUGGAGCACAGAGCACAUUGUCAUGCUUAUGCAAAACUUGCUUCCCGUGCCCAAAGGCUGUUUGUUCCUUCCUGCUCUGUGCUGUGGAUGGUAGCACAGCUUAGCACCUCAGCUGUCAGAGGGGGAGUAGCACAGAUGAGAGAAGCACAUCUCAAGCUCCUGUUCCUGAUCUCCUGUGGAUGCCCAGGCAUGACUUGGCGACAGAAAGAGUUACAAAGCAAGUAAACAUCUGCCCCAAAUCCAGGGGGAUCUCCCAUAGUCAAGGACAUAUCCAGUCCCUUCACACAGUUCCCAAAAGAGUUGUACUACACUGGAGGGGAAGCCCUGUGGCAGAGGGGAGAUGGGCUCUGCUUUGCCUAUCACUCUCCCAGGCCAAAGUGUGCAGCCAGGAUAGACAGACAAAUCCUUCUCUCCCCAUGUAAUGUAUAUAACUUACUUCAUACAUCCAGAUUUCUCUCCUCACUACUAUUAUAUAGUGGCCCACAGACUGUUCUUCCAGCCCUACAUUUUCCAGGACAGGAAGAUAGGUUAUUUAACAGCAACAGAAAGAGCUGAGAUUGAAUUAUCCUCUGUCCAGGUGUCAGAGCAGACUUUUAAUAAUUCACAAAGACCCCAUAUAGAAAUUGGAUGGAUGAGGCUGACUGGGAUUUGCACCUUUCCUCAGCAAGGCAAAGGGGCUGCCCUGCAGGGCAGGGGCAGCUGCUAUGUGAAGACAUUUUAUAACCCAGGAAAAUGCCAUUCACCUGCUAAAAUAUAUUAAGCAGAAACUUGGAGAAAGAAGAAAAGACAUUAAAAUUUUAAAAAUUCCAGGGGACAUGUAUAAAUACCCCAUGUUCUCCAAUAAGAACAGAGGGAGUUUAUUGUCUAAUACAACUGGGUCAAAAGGAAGUCAAGAGGCAAGCCCAAACCUCCAACUUUUCGGGCUUCAGCAGCUCUUUUCCUUCACCUCUGCAUUUCUGUCAUCAGACUGGUUCUGCUUACAAUGAAGUUUGGAAUCACUUUUUCUAUUUUACUGUGUUUGUGUUUAUUUCUCCUCUGCUUAUCCUUCUAUUUGCUCGGCUUUUUUUGUUAACUAAUACUGUUGUUCCAGUUUCAUCUACCACCCCAGUCAUGCUGGGAAGCAAAACAAGUUGCUUAAUUGCAGUGCAGUACCCAGCAGGACACUUUCCCUUCCAUAUAAGAGGUUGCUCUUAUUUGCUUUGCUCAUUUAAGUUCUCAGCAGAGAGGACAAGAAGGGACAUGGAGCUCCUCACUCUGCUGGCAAAUGGUCCAUGAAAAUGGUUAGAGAGGGGCACUGAGGGGAGCCCACACUGCUUCAUGAGCGCUGUGGCUGUGCCUUGGUCCCAGCACUGUCAGCUCACCAGCUUUCAUUGGUGAUAUUCACACGUGCAUGUGAAUGCUCCUAUGAAAACAGCAGCAGCCAAAGGUUUUAAGGAUCUGCUAAUGUUUUAAGGUGUUGUUAAGGUAAGAUCUUUUAAAAGACCACCUCCUUUCUGAAUCUGGUGAGCUCACAUUUUCAGAAAAUUGGCACUGAUACGGUCCAGUUAGGGAGCACAGGGUGCACAGCAGGUCACUUCAUCUGCCUGCUUCCUGGUUCUCCAGUAUGAAUUUCUUGUCCCCUGGAUAACUGCUUGAACUAAAGAGUUGCUGAGCUGUCAGGUUCACAUAUUUUCUUUUUUCUUUUUUUUUUUUCUUUUUAACCUAAUGAGGCUGGAUUUAUUUUUAACGUUCCUUAUUACCAUCCACUUCUGACUUCCAUCCAUCUACUGCUGAGUACAUGCUGCUCUUGCCAAAGCAAGUGUCUUCAGCAGCUCUGUGAGCCCCUGGAGCUGCACUGCCCUGCAGGGGAUCACAUUUGCCACCCUUGUCCCUUCUAUUAAUUCCAUGGCAGCGCAUGCUGCUCGCCUGCCUUGUUCAGUGCUCUCAUGCUAAUUACCGUGCAACCAGUUGUUAUUUCUUUCAUAACCAUUACCAGAGCUGCCUGUUGUUAAUAAUUCAGGGUUAAUUACUUACUAAAAAGUUUAGCAGAACGAUUUAGCUUCACUUAGCCUGUUCAUUGACGAAGGCUAUAAAUGUCUGCAGUCUAUCACUGAUAGAGCCAUUAUUGGAGUUGGGUAUAAUUGGCUUUUACUGAAGUGCUGCAGCAAAAAUGAGGGUUAGUCCAACUGUCUGCUUGUACACCUCCUGCUUGGUUUUCCAUCAGAUUUUGGGCAACCACUUGGGAAGAGAAGUGCCACAAUAAUUUAGCAGGUUUUUUUACAUGUCUAUUCACAUUGCAGACGUGUGCAGUGCAGACAGAGCUACAGAAGUGCUGAAGCCUGGCAUUAAAACAGACAUCACGACAGCUGCAAAGUGUCCAGCUUCUCAAUUAGGGCUGAUCUAUCACAAAAUACAUUUUAGUGGGGAUAGGCAUACCUACAACAAGGUUUAGAAGAUUGUGUUCUCUUUGAUUUAUGGAAAAGGUGGGAGGAAAAAUUGACAAGAAGAAGAAUCAUUAAAGGUAAUAAUGCCUCUUCUGUCAGUUUUCUCUGGUCUGGGAGGCUCCUGUUCCCUUAAUUUCUGAAUCUAGGAGCUGUUACAGACAGAAGGCUCUCAGAAAUGAAUGAGAACUGGGACCCCUUUCAGCAACAAGCUCUUUCUGACUGUGUAGUCAGAGUGCCCAUCUGAUCCCUAGUAGCAGAAGAAAGGCCACAUGCUGCCUUCCAAGGGAAGGUGGGGUUUAUUUGCACUCCUUUAGAGCAAAACUGGACUCUGGAAAAUCUACCCAGCCUUCUGAUUUUACCUACAUUCCAGCAUUUGCAGUGACUUGGGUUGACUGGGUGUAUUUUGGUACUGUGGAUUUCACUCAAAUGAACAAUCCUCACAACAUGAGAGGGCUGGGCAACAGAUCAUCAGCAGCCUUUGGCUGCCCUGGGCAAAGACAAGCACAUGAAACUAAGACAGUUUCCCUCUUAGACACUUGAAAAUCCAGAAUAGCACUGCCUUCACCUUUGGGUGCUUAAGUGUCCUAAAUAUGCCUACAUAUCUUCAUAUUAAAUUAUGGGCAAUAAUGUAAUUAAUUGUCCCCUGACCUUCAGUCUCUUCACUGAGGCAGUGUCACUGAACUGUAUUUUAUGUCACUAGGUGACAGCAGAUGUAAAUUAACUAUCUGCCUCCUCUGGAAUAUAUAAAAAGAGAGGAAAUGAAAUGAGAAUUCAAGGAAUGAUGUGAAAUGAAAAGGCAAGAAAGGAAAAAGAAUGAAAUGAAAUUUUAAAAAAUUCUUAGGAGAAGUUAAAUUGUUGGUAUUAACUGCAGUGCAGUGAAAUGAACUGAAACUUACUGAAAUUAUACUCCUUGGAAUCUUGUGAUUUCAUUUCAUGAAAAGAAAUUAAAUGAGGAAUAAAGGCAUGAAGUUAAAUGAAAAUACAGGAAAGGAAAUAGAAUGAAGUAGAAUUGAAUAUAUAUAAAAAAGAAAAUACUGAAUUGAAGGGGAGAUAAUGGAAUGAAAUGAAGUGGAGUGAAAUGGAUUAAAACAAAAUUAUACUUGUUCAAAUAUUGAGAUUUCAUUUCAUGAAAGUAAAUGAAGAAUUUUUUAUUUAAUGAAAGAAAAUGAAAUAAGAAACCAAGGCAUGAAGUGAAAUUAAAAGACAGAAAAGGGAAUAGAAUAAAAUUAAGUAAAUUUGUAAAAAAAAUAUUCUGAAAUAAAGUAAAAAGAAUGGAAUGGAAUGGAAUGGAAUGGAAUGAACUGAAUCUUGCUGACAUGGUACUCAAUGAUAUCUCGAGAUAUAAUUUCAUGAAAGGAAAUAAAAUGAGAAAUCGAGGAAUGAAGUGAAAUGAAAAGAUAGGAAAGGAAAAAGAAUGAAAUGUAAUGCAAUGCAAAAAAAAA
Molecule: long non-coding RNA, 5994 nt
Filed under: Taeniopygia guttata (zebra finch)
Lineage: Eukaryota; Metazoa; Chordata; Aves; Passeriformes; Estrildidae
Description: lncRNA (ENSTGUG00000021717.1)
Source: RNAcentral